GACGAACGCUGGCGGCGUGCUUAACACAUGCAAGUCGAACGGUGAAGCGCCUUCCUUUUUGGUUGGUGUGGAUGAGAGGCGAACGGGUGAGUAACACUUGCGUAACCUGCCCCCUUCUUCUGGAUAACCGCAUGAAAGUGUGUCUAAUACGGGAUAUUCUGGUUCUGUCGCAUGGUGGGUCUGGUUCAGCUAUUGUUGCUGUGGUGGAUGGGCUCGCGGCGUUUGGGGUUGUUGUGGUGGUGAUGGCCUUUGAAGGCGGGGACGGGUCGCCGGCUUGAGAGGGUGGACGGCCACAGUGGGACUGAGACACGGCUGAGACUCAUACGGGAGGCAGACGUCGGGAAUAGUGCACAGUGGGCGAAAGUCUGAUGCAGCGACGCCGCGUGAGCGGUGGCGGCCUUCGGGUUGUGAACCUCUUCCGCUAGUGAAGCAGGCCUGCCUCGUAUGUGGGUGGGUUGACGGUAGCUGGAUAAGAAGCGCCGGCUAACUACGUG
RNAcentral lists this ribosomal RNA (494 nucleotides) under uncultured bacterium. RNAcentral describes it as "partial 16S ribosomal RNA". It matches the Rfam family "Bacterial small subunit ribosomal RNA", at positions 28 to 507 of the family's 1533-position model. The record is from RNAcentral.